UCCGAUUCCAAGACUGCUGAGCUUCGACUCAUCGAUUUUGGUUGCGCGACCAUGGAUGAUGAGAGCAACAUGGAGCAUUCCACGUUCGCGGGGA
Molecule: ribosomal RNA, 94 nt
Filed under: Thalassiosira oceanica
Lineage: Eukaryota; Bacillariophyta; Thalassiosirophyceae; Thalassiosirales; Thalassiosiraceae
Description: partial Eukaryotic small subunit ribosomal RNA
Source: RNAcentral